This 430-nucleotide ribosomal RNA is filed under the name Bacteroidota bacterium. RNAcentral describes it as "Bacteroidetes bacterium partial 16S ribosomal RNA". It matches the Rfam family "Bacterial small subunit ribosomal RNA", at positions 355 to 776 of the family's 1533-position model. Lineage: Bacteria; Pseudomonadati; Bacteroidota. The record is from RNAcentral.
UAGGGAAUCUUCGGCAAUGGGGGGAACCCUGACCGAGCAACGCCGCGUGAGUGAAGAAGGUUUUCGGAUCGUAAAGCUCUGUUGUUAAGGAAGAACGAGUGUGAGAAUGGAAAGUUCAUACUGUGACGGUACUUAACCAGAAAGCCACGGCUAACUACGUGCCAGCAGCCGCGGUAAUACGUAGGUGGCAAGCGUUGUCCGGAUUUAUUGGGCGUAAAGCGAGCGCAGGCGGUCAAUUAAGUCUGAUGUGAAAGCCCCCGGCUCAACCGGGGAGGGUCAUUGGAAACUGGUUGACUUGAGUGCAGAAGAGGAGAGUGGAAUUCCAUGUGUAGCGGUGAAAUGCGUAGAUAUAUGGAGGAACACCAGUGGCGAAGGCGACUCUCUGGUCUGUAACUGACGCUGAGGCUCGAAAGCGUGGGUAGCAAACAGG